GUAGGGAAUAUUGCACAAUGGGGGAAACCCUGAUGCAGCGACGCCGCGUGAGUGACGAAGGCCUUCGGGUUGUAAAGCUCUGUUGUACGGGAAGAAAUGCUAACGGCUAAUAUCCGUUAGUUUUGACUGUACUGUAUAAGAAAGGACCGGCUAACUUCGUGCCAGCAGCCGCGGUAAGACGAAGGGUCCUAGCGUUGUUCGGAAUCACUGGGCGUAAAGCGCUUGUAGGCGGCUUGGUAAGUCAGAUGUGAAAUCCCACGGCUUAACCGUGGAACUGCAUUUGAUACUGCUAAGCUUGAGUAUGGGAGAGGGUGGUAGAAUUCCUGGUGUAGUGGUGAAAUACGUAGAUAUCAGGAGGAACACCGGUGGCGAAGGCGGCCACCUGGCCCAAUACUGACGCUGAGAAGCGAAAGCGUGGGGAUCAAACAGGAUUAGAAACCCUAGUAGUCC
Molecule: ribosomal RNA, 450 nt
Filed under: uncultured bacterium
Lineage: Bacteria
Description: bacterial SSU rRNA
Rfam family: Bacterial small subunit ribosomal RNA
Source: RNAcentral